CUUGACGACCAUAGAGCAUUGGAACCACCUGAUCCCAUCCCGAACUCAGCAGUGAAACGAUGCAUCGC
RNAcentral lists this ribosomal RNA (68 nucleotides) under Pseudomonas putida. Lineage: Bacteria; Pseudomonadati; Pseudomonadota; Gammaproteobacteria; Pseudomonadales; Pseudomonadaceae. The record is from RNAcentral. RNAcentral also lists the same sequence under 21 other names.